RNAcentral lists this ribosomal RNA (575 nucleotides) under Filobasidium uniguttulatum. RNAcentral describes it as "eukaryotic LSU rRNA". It matches the Rfam family "Eukaryotic large subunit ribosomal RNA", at positions 95 to 658 of the family's 3401-position model. Lineage: Eukaryota; Fungi; Basidiomycota; Tremellomycetes; Filobasidiales; Filobasidiaceae. The record is from RNAcentral.
GAAGCGGGAAGAGCUCAAAUUUGAAAUCUGGUGGCCUCAGGUCAUCCGAGUUGUAAUCUAUAGAAGUGUUUUCCGUGCUGGCCCAUGUACAAGUCCCUUGGAACAGGGCGUCAUAGAGGGUGAGAAUCCCGUCCUUGACAUGGACUACCAGUGCUCUGUGAUACACUUUCAACGAGUCGAGUUGUUUGGGAAUGCAGCUCAAAAUGGGUGGUAAAUUCCAUCUAAAGCUAAAUAUUGGCGAGAGACCGAUAGCGAACAAGUACCGUGAGGGAAAGAUGAAAAGCACUUUGGAAAGAGAGUUAAACAGUAUGUGAAAUUGUUGAAAGGGAAACGAUUGAAGUCAGUCGUGCUCAAUGGACUCAGCCGUUCUGCGGUGUAUUUCCAUUGGGUGGGGUCAACAUCAGUUUUGAUCGCUGGAUAAAGGCAGGAGGAAUGUAGCACCCCCGGGUGAACUUAUAGCCUCUUGUCACAUACAGUGGUUGGGACUGAGGAACGCAGCAUGCCUUUAUGGCCGGGAUUCGUCCACGUACAUGCUUAGGAUGUUGACAUAAUGGCUUUAAACGACCCGUCUUGAA